GGUCAAGUGAAGAAGCGCAUACGGUGGAUGCCUUGGCAGUCAGAGGCGAUGAAAGACGUGGUAGCCUGCGAAAAGCUUCGGGGAGUCGGCAAACAGACUUUGAUCCGGAGAUCUCUGAAUGGGGGAACCCACCUAGGAUAACCUAGGUAUCUUGUACUGAAUCCAUAGGUGCAAGAGGCGAACCAGGGGAACUGAAACAUCUAAGUACCCUGAGGAAAAGAAAUCAACCGAGAUUCCCUUAGUAGUGGCGAGCGAACGGGGAUUAGCCCUUAAGCUUCAUUGAUUUUAGCGGAACGCUCUGGAAAGUGCGGCCAUAGUGGGUGAUAGCCCCGUACGCGAAAGGAUCUUUGAAGUGAAAUCGAGUAGGACGGAGCACGAGAAACUUUGUCUGAACAUGGGGGGACCAUCCUCCAAGGCUAAAUACUACUGACUGACCGAUAGUGAACCAGUACCGUGAGGGAAAGGCGAAAAGAACCCCGGAGAGGGGAGUGAAAUAGAACCUGAAACCGUAUGCGUACAAGCAGUGGGAGCCUACUUGUUAGGUGACUGCGUACCUUUUGUAUAAUGGGUCAGCGACUUAUAUUCAGUGGCAAGCUUAACCGUAUAGGGUAGGCGUAGCGAAAGCGAGUCUUAAUAGGGCGUUUAGUCGCUGGGUAUAGACCCGAAACCGGGCGAUCUAUCCAUGAGCAGGUUGAAGGUUAGGUAACACUGACUGGAGGACCGAACCCACUCCCGUUGAAAAGGUAGGGGAUGACUUGUGGAUCGGAGUGAAAGGCUAAUCAAGCUCGGAGAUAGCUGGUUCUCCUCGAAAGCUAUUUAGGUAGCGCCUCAUGUAUCACUCUGGGGGGUAGAGCACUGUUUCGGCUAGGGGGUCAUCCCGACUUACCAAACCGAUGCAAACUCCGAAUACCCAGAAGUGCCGAGCAUGGGAGACACACGGCGGGUGCUAACGUCCGUCGUGAAAAGGGAAACAACCCAGACCGCCAGCUAAGGUCCCAAAGUUGUGGUUAAGUGGUAAACGAUGUGGGAAGGCUUAGACAGCUAGGAGGUUGGCUUAGAAGCAGCCACCCUUUAAAGAAAGCGUAAUAGCUCACUAGUCGAGUCGGCCUGCGCGGAAGAUGUAACGGGGCUCAAACCACACACCGAAGCUGCGGGUGUCACGUAAGUGACGCGGUAGAGGAGCGUUCUGUAAGCCUGUGAAGGUGAGUUGAGAAGCUUGCUGGAGGUAUCAGAAGUGCGAAUGCUGACAUGAGUAACGACAAUGGGUGUGAAAAACACCCACGCCGAAAGACCAAGGGUUCCUGCGCAACGUUAAUCGACGCAGGGUUAGUCGGUUCCUAAGGCGAGGCUGAAAAGCGUAGUCGAUGGGAAACAGGUUAAUAUUCCUGUACUUCUGGUUACUGCGAUGGAGGGACGGAGAAGGCUAGGCCAGCUUGGCGUUGGUUGUCCAAGUUUAAGGUGGUAGGCUGAAAUCUUAGGUAAAUCCGGGGUUUCAAGGCCGAGAGCUGAUGACGAGUCGUCUUUUAGAUGACGAAGUGGUUGAUGCCAUGCUUCCAAGAAAAGCUUCUAAGCUUCAGGUAACCAGGAACCGUACCCCAAACCGACACAGGUGGUCGGGUAGAGAAUACCAAGGCGCUUGAGAGAACUCGGGUGAAGGAACUAGGCAAAAUGGCACCGUAACUUCGGGAGAAGGUGCGCCGGCUAGGGUGAAGGAUUUACUCCGUAAGCUCUGGCUGGUCGAAGAUACCAGGCCGCUGCGACUGUUUAUUAAAAACACAGCACUCUGCAAACACGAAAGUGGACGUAUAGGGUGUGACGCCUGCCCGGUGCCGGAAGGUUAAUUGAUGGGGUUAGCGCAAGCGAAGCUCUUGAUCGAAGCCCCGGUAAACGGCGGCCGUAACUAUAACGGUCCUAAGGUAGCGAAAUUCCUUGUCGGGUAAGUUCCGACCUGCACGAAUGGCGUAACGAUGGCGGCGCUGUCUCCACCCGAGACUCAGUGAAAUUGAAAUCGCUGUGAAGAUGCAGUGUAUCCGCGGCUAGACGGAAAGACCCCGUGAACCUUUACUGUAGCUUUGCACUGGACUUUGAGCCUGCUUGUGUAGGAUAGGUGGGAGGCUUUGAAGCGUGGACGCCAGUUCGCGUGGAGCCAUCCUUGAAAUACCACCCUGGCAUGCUUGAGGUUCUAACUCUGGUCCGUGAUCCGGAUCGAGGACAGUGUAUGGUGGGCAGUUUGACUGGGGCGGUCUCCUCCUAAAGAGUAACGGAGGAGUACGAAGGUGCGCUCAGACCGGUCGGAAAUCGGUCGCAGAGUAUAAAGGCAAAAGCGCGCUUGACUGCGAGACUGACACGUCGAGCAGGUACGAAAGUAGGUCUUAGUGAUCCGGUGGUUCUGUAUGGAAGGGCCAUCGCUCAACGGAUAAAAGGUACUCCGGGGAUAACAGGCUGAUACCGCCCAAGAGUUCAUAUCGACGGCGGUGUUUGGCACCUCGAUGUCGGCUCAUCACAUCCUGGGGCUGAAGCCGGUCCCAAGGGUAUGGCUGUUCGCCAUUUAAAGUGGUACGCGAGCUGGGUUUAGAACGUCGUGAGACAGUUCGGUCCCUAUCUGCCGUGGACGUUUGAGAUUUGAGAGGGGCUGCUCCUAGUACGAGAGGACCGGAGUGGACGAACCUCUGGUGUUCCGGUUGUCACGCCAGUGGCAUUGCCGGGUAGCUAUGUUCGGAAAAGAUAACCGCUGAAAGCAUCUAAGCGGGAAACUUGCCUCAAGAUGAGAUCUCACUGGGAACUUGAUUCCCCUGAAGGGCCGUCGAAGACUACGACGUUGAUAGGCUGGGUGUGUAAGCGUUGUGAGGCGUUGAGCUAACCAGUACUAAUUGCCCGUGAGGCUUGACCAU
This 2891-nucleotide ribosomal RNA is filed under the name Pseudomonas aeruginosa. RNAcentral's name for it is "LSU rRNA". It matches the Rfam family "Bacterial large subunit ribosomal RNA". The record is from RNAcentral. Lineage: Bacteria; Pseudomonadati; Pseudomonadota; Gammaproteobacteria; Pseudomonadales; Pseudomonadaceae.